AGGGACACACGUGUGCUGAUGAAGCUUUCUUCCACAGUGACUCACCCUAUCAUUGCAUCUCUGUGUUAAGAAAUACGUAAUGAAGGCAGUAGAAGUGAUUUAGCAUCUUUCAUGGGCAUAAGCUCUGUGCUUGCCUCUGAAUAGUCAGAGGAUGGAGAUUAUGAUGGAUGUUCCUGCUAUUUCAGCUUCUGCUCUGCUCACUUGUCAUGCCACCUCUGUGUCAGGAAGG
Molecule: long non-coding RNA, 229 nt
Organism: Hippopotamus amphibius kiboko
Lineage: Eukaryota; Metazoa; Chordata; Mammalia; Artiodactyla; Hippopotamidae
Exons: 3
Source: RefSeq, a predicted model, not a curated record